RNAcentral lists this ribosomal RNA (526 nucleotides) under Clostridioides difficile. Its description in RNAcentral is "bacterial SSU rRNA". It matches the Rfam family "Bacterial small subunit ribosomal RNA", at positions 1014 to 1533 of the family's 1533-position model. Lineage: Bacteria; Bacillati; Bacillota; Clostridia; Peptostreptococcales; Peptostreptococcaceae. The record is from RNAcentral.
UUCCCUUCGGGGACAUUGGUGACAGGUGGUGCAUGGUUGUCGUCAGCUCGUGUCGUGAGAUGUUGGGUUAAGUCCCGCAACGAGCGCAACCCUUGUCUUUAGUUGCCAUCAUUAAGUUGGGCACUCUAGAGAGACUGCCAGGGAUAACCUGGAGGAAGGUGGGGAUGACGUCAAAUCAUCAUGCCCCUUAUGCUUAGGGCUACACACGUGCUACAAUGGGUAGUACAGCGGGUUGCCAAGCCGUAAGGUGCAGCUUAUCCCUUAAAGCUACUCUCAGUUCGGAUUGUAGGCUGCAACUCGCCUACCUGAAGCUGGAGUUACUGGUAAUCGCAGAUCAGAAUGCUGCGGUGAAUGCGUUCCCGGGUCUUGUACCCACCGCCCGUCACACCACGGGAGUUGGAGACGCCCGAAGCCGAUUAUCUAACCGUUUGGAAGAAGUCGUCGAAGGUGGAAUCAAUAACUGGGGUGAAGUCGUAACAAGGUAGCCGUAUCGGAAGGUGCGGCUGGAUCACCUCCUUUCUAAGGA